This 253-nucleotide ribosomal RNA is filed under the name uncultured bacterium. RNAcentral's name for it is "partial 16S ribosomal RNA". It matches the Rfam family "Bacterial small subunit ribosomal RNA", at positions 524 to 776 of the family's 1533-position model. The record is from RNAcentral.
UACGGAGGGGGCUAGCGUUGUUCGGAAUUACUGGGCGUAAAGCGCACGUAGGCGGCUUUGCAAGUUAGAGGUGAAAGCCCGGGGCUCAACUCCGGAAUUGCCUCUAAGACUGCAUCGCUAGAAUUGUGGAGAGGUAAGUGGAAUUCCGAGUGUAGAGGUGAAAUUCGUAGAUAUUCGGAAGAACACCAGUGGCGAAGGCGACUUACUGGACACAUAUUGACGCUGAGGUGCGAAAGCGUGGGGAGCAAACAGG